RNAcentral lists this long non-coding RNA (528 nucleotides) under Felis catus (domestic cat). RNAcentral's name for it is "lncRNA (ENSFCAG00000051667.1)". The record is from RNAcentral. Lineage: Eukaryota; Metazoa; Chordata; Mammalia; Carnivora; Felidae.
GGCAGUCUGGAUCCUGGGGACCUCCUCCGUUAACUGGACGAUUCUGCAUGCCCUACCCUGGAGACACCCCGCCCCCAUGGACUAUUAGGCACGUCCACCUCCUGAACCUUAGUGGCCCUGAGGCCACCCGGAACCCCUCCACCUGCAACACUUGGCUAUUUUGUAUGCAAGAGUCCUGGUCCUUUCCCAGGAUUGCCUUGCAGGCUGUACCCCAUGGACCACCCUUCACCACCAGUCAUGGGCUAUAGGCCACAUCCCCCUCCUCCACCUACUCUAUUUGUUAAGAUGACCUGAACUGGACGAGUGGCUGGUAAAGUAUAUUCAUCUUCUUCAUGAUUGACUUUGUGGCAAUGAUGUAGAGACAGUUGUGAGUCUUGGCAAUCCAACUACAAACUGCCUGAGGACACUGUAGCAUGUCUCAAGUUUCUCAGGACAUACAUACAAUGGGCAGUGUCAUGUCCCUGUAAUACAGUGAGCUAUACGUUUCUCUUGUCAAAUGAAAGAGGAUUUUUUACACAAAAGCAGAUG